Molecule: ribosomal RNA, 440 nt
Filed under: uncultured bacterium
Lineage: Bacteria
Description: partial 16S ribosomal RNA
Rfam family: Bacterial small subunit ribosomal RNA
Source: RNAcentral
CCUACGGGUGGCAGUAGUGGGGAAUAUUGCACAAUGGGGGAAACCCUGAUGCAGCGACGCCGCGUGAGCGAUGAAGUAUUUCGGUAUGUAAAGCUCUAUCAGCAGGGAAGAAAAUGACGGUACCUGACCAAGAAGCCCCGGCUAACUACGUGCCAGCCGCCGCGGUAAUACGUAGGGGGCAAGCGUUAUCCGGAUUUACUGGGUGUAAAGGGAGCGUAGACGGCGGUGCAAGCCAGAUGUGAAAGCCCGGGGCUCAACCCCGGGACUGCAUUUGGAACUGUGUGGCUGGAGUGUCGGAGAGGCAGGCGGAAUUCCUAGUGUAGCGGUGAAAUGCGUAGAUAUGAGGAGGAACACCAGUGGCGAAGGCGGCCUGCUGGACGGUGACUGACGCUGAGGCUCGAAAGCGUGGGGAGCAAACAGGAUUAGAUACCCGUGUAGUC